UACGGGAGGCAGCAGUGGGGAAUAUUGCACAAUGGGCGAAAGCCUGAUGCAGCUAUGCCGCGUGUAUGAAGAAGGCCUUAGGGUUGUAAAGUACUUUCAUCGGGGAGGAAAAACAAAACUAAUAAUUUUAUUUCUUGACGUUACCCGAAAAAGAAGCACCGGCUAACUCCGUGCCAGCAGCCGCGGUAAUACGGAGGGUGCUAGCGUUAAUCAGAAUUACUGGGCGUAAAGAGCACGUAGGUGGUUUUUUUAAGUCAGAUGUGAAAUCCCUGGGCUUAACCUAGGAACUGCAUUUUGAAACUGAAAUACUAGAGUAUCGUAGAGGGAGGUAGAAUUCUAGGUGUAGCGGUGAAAUGCGUAGAUAUCUGGAGGAAUACCUGUGGCGAAAGCGGCCUCCUAAACGAAUACUGACACUGAGGUGCGAAAGCGUGGGGAGCAAACAGGGAUUAGAUACCCUCUGAGACUACCAAGGCAACAACAGGGGAAU
RNAcentral lists this ribosomal RNA (487 nucleotides) under uncultured bacterium. Its description in RNAcentral is "bacterial SSU rRNA". It matches the Rfam family "Bacterial small subunit ribosomal RNA", at positions 340 to 818 of the family's 1533-position model. The record is from RNAcentral.